RNAcentral lists this ribosomal RNA (169 nucleotides) under uncultured Hyphomicrobium sp. Its description in RNAcentral is "partial 16S ribosomal RNA". It matches the Rfam family "Bacterial small subunit ribosomal RNA", at positions 338 to 524 of the family's 1533-position model. The record is from RNAcentral. Lineage: Bacteria; Pseudomonadati; Pseudomonadota; Alphaproteobacteria; Hyphomicrobiales; Hyphomicrobiaceae.
CCUACGGGAGGCAGCAGUGGGGAAUAUUGGACAAUGGGCGAAAGCCUGAUCCAGCCAUGCCGCGUGAGUGACGAAGGUCUUCGGAUUGUAAAGCUCUUUUGGCGGGGAAGAUAAUGACGGUACCCGCAGAAUAAGCCCCGGCUAACUUCGUGCCAGCAGCCGCGGUAAU